AAGGAUUCCUGAAUAAGAUAGGUGGGAUUUCAAUGGUGGAAGGAAACAGGAGAUUAUUCCAUCCCAUCUUGGUAGGAAGCAAGAGCUAAGAGAGAAGUAUGCAUUUGCAACACAUGAUUUUCUUUUUGGAGUGGGGGAAUGGAGUGUCAUGGGAAAAUGGGGCCAAACUGGUGGGAGCUUUGAAAAUCAAGCAGAUGAAUGUCCAACAAUGUCACAGUCAAAACGAAGUUGUCAUGAGGUUUGAGCAAUGAAGUGACAUGAAAUAUUAGGUUGGCAAAAAAAAAUUGUUUGGUUUUUUUCUGUAGCAUCAUAUGGAAAAAGUCAGACAAACUUUUUGGCCAACACAAUACUUUAAGAAAGAGUAUUAAAGUGAAAAUAGAACCAGUUGAGGACAGAGCCUGAGAGGCCAGGGAGUUAACAGUGAUCCAGACACAAUGUGACAGAAUGGAAAUAGGAAAAUAAUACCACCAAAUAUUUCUUGACACCUACCUGAUGUGAGCUCUUUUCUGGGUGCUGAAAAUACAGGAUUGACUAAGACUUGUCCUUAUCUUCAAGGAGCUCACAGUCUACUGAAGACAGAGACAAGUGUGCAGCGGGAGUCAAAAUAGCAGGAUGCGAAUGGCAAGGAAAUAUGUGUGCAAAGUAAAGGAACAAGUAAUGGCUGCGAUGGAAAGACUUCAUAAAAGAGGUGACAGUGGAAGUGAAUGUGGCAGUAUGCUGGAAGCCCUGCCUGGGCUUGGUGACAGAUGGGACCUGGGCGUUGAGGAAGACAGAAGAGUUGAAGCUCGUCAUGGGAAUAGAAAUAGACAUUUUGAAGGAAGACUCCAAGACAGUCACCAUGAAUUCAGUUCCCAGUUAGCUGAGGACAACAUGACGGUCAAAGACGGAUUUUCGCUGCUCUUGAACUUGAAGCUUCCAACGCUGCUGGGCAUACUCGACCUUAUUUAG
This 948-nucleotide long non-coding RNA is filed under the name Ovis aries (sheep). RNAcentral describes it as "lncRNA (ENSOARG00000026822.1)". The record is from RNAcentral. Lineage: Eukaryota; Metazoa; Chordata; Mammalia; Artiodactyla; Bovidae.